RNAcentral lists this transfer RNA (66 nucleotides) under Nipponacmea nigrans. Its description in RNAcentral is "tRNA-Ser". The record is from RNAcentral. Lineage: Eukaryota; Metazoa; Mollusca; Gastropoda; Lottiidae.
UAGGUAGUCCUCUUGGUAAACCAAGCUUCUAACUUGGUGACGGGCGUUAAGAUCGUCCCUACCUAU